CUGUUGAGAUUUACCAACACCAACGUUUAAAAAAAAAUCUUGCCAGAAUCUGACUGCGGCUAUUUUACAUGUACCUCUGUGCUCAGUUGGAAAUUAAGAAUACUUGUCUUCCUUAGAACCUCUUACAAAUGUAUUAAUAACUGGCUGCCUUUCUCCCAAACGGGCACCUUGCACUAGCUAAUCAAUGGUUUUAGAUGAUAAUAGUACAUAAAACCACAUCACAGGACCCAGAAUAUAGCAACCAGAAUAUAUGAGACCACGCACAAGGAAGCAAGGCGGUGACCAUCUUUAGUACCACAGCUGCCGCCGCGGUGUGUAGGAUGUGUGUGAUGUGCGUGUUGGGUCGUCACCUGCUAUUGUGAUUUGUCAUAUAAUAACUCUCUAAUAAGUGUACCGUGAACAUGCAUCAUUCUAGUUUAGUGGAAGAGGAAAUGCAGACGAUGGCAAGGCUUAGGACUACUUCACUGCGCACGUUGGCGCCAUCCACCACCUCAGAGAACGCCGCCUGACACUUGAUGCGCCGCUGGUGUUGCCUGAGCCUUGCCCCACGCUCCUGGUGCAGAUGGGAAACAAGUGUGUCGUGCCUUGCGUGGCGGAUCCUGUCAAGCUUUAUGUGUGCAUGCGUGAACUUUUAAGCACCCCCGCCAGGCGUCAUCGGGUUAUCGUCACGCCAAAGUACGCAGAAUUCGUUUUCCUGGUGACAGUCCUUCACGGCGUAACAGGUGAAAGAGUGAAGGAGUUGAGGUGGAGAUGUGAAAGUAAAGGGAAGGACUGGAAAGGUCAUUCACUCUACACUUUCCCUUUGCCUCGUCCAGGUAGCCAAUUAGCUUCCCCUUGUGCUGCUUCAUGUCCUCUGCUGGCCGACCCUUAGCCUACCUGGUCGU
Scylla paramamosain (green mud crab) is the source of this 884-nucleotide long non-coding RNA. RefSeq lists it as uncharacterized. The transcript is spliced from 3 exons. The record is from RefSeq and is a predicted model, not a curated record. Lineage: Eukaryota; Metazoa; Arthropoda; Malacostraca; Decapoda; Portunidae.